AAUCCCCCAAGUGCACACACAACUGGCAUUAACGAUCAUUUGCAGGACUGAACGCUCCCCCACCUCUUCAACAAAUCGGCACAUUGGAGCAGGGAAACCCUGGAACAGCACUGAGCCUGCACGCUGCAGAAACAAAAAGAACAAUGUUCCCCAGGGAUGGGCAUCCCGGCUGCUCCCACCCCUGUGCGCUGCAGGUGGGCGUCCUCCCCAGGUGUGCUCUCAGCAUCCUCCCAACGUGUGCUACCAGCUUCACUCUAGAAGAGCUCCUGAGCCCCGCAUCAGCUUUAGCUCCCUUUGCCUCCGGCAGCCCCAGCUCCCACCCUCCUGCCAGCAAACUCCACUUCAGCAAACGCUGGAGGCUCUUUUCAGGAGCUCCCAGAUUCCUGUCCACGUUCGGCUUUCACUUAAAGAGAGAGCUGCCCAUCAGAUCGCUGGAAAGAUUGGAAAUGAACGUCACGGCUCUGAAAGCAAAGAAAAAAGAGCCGCGAUUUCCCCAGCUCUCCAAAAAGGAGAGAAAUCUCCUGCUUGAACUCGUGGACAGGGUUCCCAGCACUCGACUCCCCCCGUGUUGAGCACUGAGGCGUGCGGGCUCGGAGGCUGCUCAUGCAAGAAAGCCAAAGCUGUCGCCUGCCUCAGCAAAGCUGUCAGAACUAUUUUAUUAUAUUCCAGCCCAUCAAAUAACCAUCACAACAGGUAUUCUCCCCCUCAUCAUGGCAGAAAGCUGGUAAGGGAGCACUUUCCUCUGAAAGAAUCUGCACUGUUUGUUGUUCAUUAAUUACUUGGGUGGUAUUAAUAAAGGCGACAUGGACUUGUCACCAAAAUGCCCUCUAAAUUCCCCUCAGUACUGUGAUUAUUCAUCUCUUCCACAGCCCAAGCUCAGGAACUCAGAGACUUUGUGCUACAUUAUAUUCUGGAUCUCAGUGUGUUCAGAGACUGAAGCUUGUUCAAAUGAGUCACUGCUGAGCUUCGUUCUUAUCUUUAAAGUUUGUUAUUGCUUGGAAGUGUUUAUCUGCAUCACAUUUGCAAAAACAUCUGAACAAAGGCCAGCCCGUGGAAACAAGAGCAUUUUUGCACCUUUUUAUAUAAAUAGGAAGGAGUUGAUACAGCUGGUUCUUUUUGCAAUUCACAAUAUUUGUCUCUAAUGCCAAUUUUAAGGACCGUGAUGGGAUUUAAGCAAUCACACGCAGACCUGGUGUCCUGGGAGAGAUAACAGCGCAGCUCCAUGGCAGGCUGAGAAAUCCAACUGCUGACACCCUUUGUGCCGGGCACAGCCACGACUUCCCGGGGAUCCAGCCCCGGUUUGGGGAUCCUGCCACACAGUGACCUGGAGAGAGUCCAAGCUCGUGUGUUCUGAGCAGAGCCAGGGAAAUCACACUCACAGCCUCAGGGUUUCUCCAAGGUGUUGGAGGCAGAGUGGGGGAGCGAGGCAGAGCGGCUGCCCGGGAGCCUGCGUUUACUCGAGGUGUAAAAGCUGCGCCUCCCAGUGCAGAUGGAUUUUUAUAACAGUCAUUCUAAAAACUUCACGGAUCAGGUUGUAUUCCUGCUAAACCUCACGGUGGCUGUGCGGCAGAUUGAUGUCUUAUGCUUGUGCCUCGCAGAUUUUACGGGGUUCUCUCGAUCUCCAGGAGCUGAGCUGUUCCCCCGAGCGCUCCCACGUACAUCAGCCGCCAAAAGAAUCAGAUCCUUUUUAAAAUGUAGCAAAAAAUAUCUUUAUCCUGCGCUAUGUCCUCGGGCGGGUUUCGGGCACUUACUGCCGAUAUCGCUGAAACAGUUAAAGACAUUUGGGCAGCUUUUCGUCAAAAAAAAAAAAAAAAAAAAAAAAAAAAAAAAGAGGUUUUCCUUUAGAUCCGGAAUGCAUUGGUUGGUGUUUUAAGCGCAGCGCUUGGAGAGAGCUCCGAGCCCUGGGAAGCCCGUGCGGAUCCCAGCAGCAGAAGCCGGGGGCUUGGCACCCUCUCCUGGUGUGCGCCCGGAGUGCUGCGGCAGCAGCCGGGCUGCCCCGGGAGCCAACCGAGGGCAAAUCAUCCGCUCCUAUAGCUGAUCUCACGGGCAAAGCCUCCGGGUAACGCGCUGCGGUUCUGUCUGGAUGCGGCGUUUUGGCUUCACGGGGGUGUGUCUGUGUCUCGCACUUAGAAAUGCCGAGGAUUCUGCUCGUCCUGUGACUGCAGGAAAGUUUUGAAGGGACAAAAUGACAUUCAGCCUUGGUUUUUUCCCCAUAUCUCUGGUUUGAAGAAAUACUCGACUGCUGUCAUGUGCUGCAUCGCUUCUUGUACUCCUUGAGGCAUCAAGAAAAACAUAAGAGGGGGAAAAGGGAAGAAUGGAGAAACAGAAGAUGGUCUUAAACUAGAUUUUUUUUUUUAACUUUUAACUUUAACUAGAUUAUUCUUUUUCAAGUAUUUAUGACACCACAGAAUGCCCAAGAACUUGGGAAAAACACUGUGGAUUGGAGAAAGUCAUCUGAGGUGAGUUCCACACAGCGCUGGCAAUGCCGUCUGGGCAGAGAGGAGGUGCCAACGAGCCCGUUUGCUUUCACUGGUUCGGAAUAAUUCCAGAGUGGCUCCAAAGCCCUGCAGAAAAGGCUCCUUUCCUACAGGAGCAGCCCGCGGCGGGGCUGGGAAGAGCUCAGCACCUGGUGUGGGGGAUUUUCUGUUUUCUGCUGCUCCGUGCUGCUUCCCCAGAGCUCUGCUGUCCUGCAUAUCUGCAGCAGCAGCUCACCAACACAGCUCUUCCUGCUGGGCAUGAGCCUUUUUUUAACCUUUUAACCCCAAUUUUACACGUCAAACCUCGAAUUUUAUCUCACCCAUUGAGAAUCAGGUAGAAACUCUUUACCCCUUGCUUGUGACCAGACACAGAGGAAAAACUCUCCCUCCUCGGGCAUGUGCUCAAUGGAAGGAGACAGGGAGGGAUUGCAGUGUUUUAAUAAAAGCAGUUCCUUUUUGCCAGGCUGGGACAUUCCCAGGAGAAUUCCCUUCUUUGAAAUGCUCAGCACAGUCGGGAAGCAGGUACCAACCCUCCCGUUCCCAUGAGGGUUAAUGGACUGAGGUCAGCCACAGCCAAAUUUACCAGGAAUUUUGUGUGUGCAUGCAGACACUUGUUUUCCCAUUAAAGAAAAAGAAUUAGGACAAAAAUACAAGCCUCUAGUUGAAGGUGCUGUGAGUUUUCGGCAAAGACAUCUUUGAUUCCUUAUGUGUUUAGGACAUUAGUAUUUAUUCCAGAGUAAGAUCUCAGCUGUUAAAGCCCUUACUCAUAUAAUUUUUGGUAUUUGUAUUCCCGAAGUAGUGAGAAUUCUAUACAUGAGAGAGAAUCCCAACAUCACAUGAAUAAAUGGACUGUCCCAAAGAUGGGAGAAGUGGAAA
This is a long non-coding RNA of Corvus hawaiiensis (hawaiian crow), 3353 nucleotides long. RefSeq lists it as uncharacterized. The transcript is spliced from 2 exons. The record is from RefSeq and is a predicted model, not a curated record. Lineage: Eukaryota; Metazoa; Chordata; Aves; Passeriformes; Corvidae.